RNAcentral lists this ribosomal RNA (1368 nucleotides) under uncultured Synechococcus sp. Its description in RNAcentral is "bacterial SSU rRNA". It matches the Rfam family "Bacterial small subunit ribosomal RNA". The record is from RNAcentral. Lineage: Bacteria; Bacillati; Cyanobacteriota; Cyanophyceae; Synechococcales; Synechococcaceae.
ACGCGUGAGAAUCUGCCCUCAGGAGGGGGAUAACGGCUGGAAACGGCCGCUAAUACCCCAUAUGCCGAGAGGUGAAACGAAUUUCGCCUGAGGAUGAGCUCGCGUCUGAUUAGCUAGUUGGUGGGGUAAGAGCCUACCAAGGCUUCGAUCAGUAGCUGGUCUGAGAGGAUGAUCAGCCACACUGGGACUGAGACACGGCCCAGACUCCUACGGGAGGCAGCAGUGGGGAAUUUUCCGCAAUGGGCGAAAGCCUGACGGAGCAACGCCGCGUGAGGGAUGAAGGCCUCUGGGCUGUAAACCUCUUUUAUCAAGGAAGAAGAUCUGACGGUACUUGAUGAAUAAGCCACGGCUAAUUCCGUGCCAGCAGCCGCGGUAAUACGGGAGUGGCAAGCGUUAUCCGGAAUUAUUGGGCGUAAAGCGUCCGCAGGCGGCCUUUUAAGUCUGUUGUCAAAGCGUGGAGCUUAACUCCAUUUCGGCAAUGGAAACUGGGAGGCUUGAGUGUGGUAGGGGCAGAGGGAAUUCCCGGUGUAGCGGUGAAAUGCGUAGAUAUCGGGAAGAACACCAGUGGCGAAGGCGCUCUGCUGGGCCAUAACUGACGCUCAUGGACGAAAGCCAGGGGAGCGAAAGGGAUUAGAUACCCCUGUAGUCCUGGCCGUAAACGAUGAACACUAGGUGUCGGGGGAAUCGACCCCCUCGGUGUCGUAGCCAACGCGUUAAGUGUUCCGCCUGGGGAGUACGCACGCAAGUGUGAAACUCAAAGGAAUUGACGGGGGCCCGCACAAGCGGUGGAGUAUGUGGUUUAAUUCGAUGCAACGCGAAGAACCUUACCAGGGUUUGACAUCCUGCGAAUCCCUUGGAAACGAGGGAGUGCCUUCGGGAGCGCAGUGACAGGUGGUGCAUGGCUGUCGUCAGCUCGUGUCGUGAGAUGUUGGGUUAAGUCCCGCAACGAGCGCAACCCACGUCUUUAGUUGCCAGCAUUGAGUUGGGCACUCUAGAGAGACCGCCGGUGAUAAACCGGAGGAAGGUGUGGAUGACGUCAAGUCAUCAUGCCCCUUACAUCCUGGGCUACACACGUACUACAAUGCUACGGACAAAGGGCAGCAAACUCGCGAGAGCUAGCAAAUCCCAUAAACCGUGGCUCAGUUCAGAUCGUAGGCUGCAACUCGCCUACGUGAAGGAGGAGUCGCUAGUAAUCGCAGGUCAGCAUACUGCGGUGAAUACGUUCCCGGGCCUUGUACACACCGCCCGUCACACCAUGGAAGUUGGCCACGCCCGAAGUCGUUACUCCAACCCGCAAGGAGGAGGAUGCCGAAGGUGGGGCUGAUGACUGGGGUGAAGUCGUAACAAGGUAGCCGUACCGGAAGGUGC